This 301-nucleotide long non-coding RNA is filed under the name Physcomitrium patens. RNAcentral describes it as "long non-coding RNA (PPAT_LNC009118)". Lineage: Eukaryota; Viridiplantae; Streptophyta; Bryopsida; Funariales; Funariaceae. The record is from RNAcentral.
GGAUAAGACGUUGUAUCUUGAACGAAGAAAUGUUGCUCCGUAGCAACAUCCCCAAUCCGAAUUUUGACAUCUGGACAAGCUCCAUAUAAUUCGCCCCAUGUGUUAUUAGCUGCUCGUAUUGCCCAUCCAUGUUCCAUAUCAAUUGGCCAUUUUUGCUUCUUAUAAAGAUCUUUAGACAUGAGAUUUAUUUCAGAACCAUAGUCGACCAAAGCAACUAUUGGUUCUUCUAUAUCUCCUACCUUCACCAAUACCUCAGUAGUUGCCUUUGCCCAAUGCUUUCGAGUAUAAUGGCUCAAAGUUU